Molecule: ribosomal RNA, 253 nt
Filed under: uncultured Paracoccaceae bacterium
Lineage: Bacteria; Pseudomonadati; Pseudomonadota; Alphaproteobacteria; Rhodobacterales; Paracoccaceae
Description: uncultured Rhodobacteraceae bacterium partial 16S ribosomal RNA
Rfam family: Bacterial small subunit ribosomal RNA
Source: RNAcentral
UACGGAGGGGGUUAGCGUUGUUCGGAAUUACUGGGCGUAAAGCGCGCGUAGGCGGACUGGAAAGUUGGGGGUGAAAUCCCGGGGCUCAACCCCGGAACGGCCUCCAAAACUAUCAGUCUAGAGUUCGAGAGAGGUGAGUGGAAUUCCGAGUGUAGAGGCGAAAUUCGUAGAUAUUCGGAGGAACGCCAGUGGCGAAGGCGGCUCACUGGCUCGAUACUGACGCUGAGGUGCGAAAGCGUGGGGAGCAAACAGG